Molecule: microRNA precursor, 84 nt
Filed under: Jaculus jaculus (lesser Egyptian jerboa)
Lineage: Eukaryota; Metazoa; Chordata; Mammalia; Rodentia; Dipodidae
Description: miRNA (ENSJJAG00000003247.1)
Source: RNAcentral
CUUAACUGCUGAGCCAUCUCUCCAACCCCAAUCUCAUACUUUAAAAAGUUAAUUGGGGGCUGGAGAGAUGGCUUAGUGGUUAAG